RNAcentral lists this ribosomal RNA (267 nucleotides) under Triticum aestivum (bread wheat). RNAcentral's name for it is "partial small subunit ribosomal RNA". The record is from RNAcentral. Lineage: Eukaryota; Viridiplantae; Streptophyta; Magnoliopsida; Poales; Poaceae.
AUGGGACCUGGACGAACAGUUCGCCCACCAAGGAAUGCCCCACAAUCUCAAGGUCAACAUUCUGGGAGUACCUCAACAUCAAAAUCCAGGAAGGUGCGUGGGAUAAAUAAGGGAAAGGGCUUGGAGCGUUUGAUCAAAAGGGCAGGUCAUCCACUAAACUUGACCAUCUCCGAAGAGAGAAGACCUAUUGGAGAAAAUAAUGAACUACUUUCCAGAGAGAUUGGACUUCUUACACGGUACCAUGCACCUAUCCAACGUGCCGGGUAG